ACAAGCGGUGGAUGAUGUGGAUUAAUUCGAUGCAACGCGAAAACCUUACCUACCCUUGACAUGUCCGGAAUCCCGAAGAGAUUUGGGAGUGCUCGCAAGAGAACCGGAACACAGGUGCUGCAUGGCUGUCGUCAGCUCGUGUCGUGAGAUGUUGGGUUAAGUCCCGCAACGAGCGCAACCCUUGUCAUUAGUUGCCAUCAUUUGGUUGGGCACUCUAAUGAGACUGCCGGUGACAAACCGGAGGAAGGUGGGGAUGACGUCAAGUCCUCAUGGCCCUUAUGGGUAGGGCUUCACACGUCAUACAAUGGUCGGUACAGAGGGUUGCCAACCCGCGAGGGGGAGCUAAUCCCACAAAGCCGAUCGUAGUCCGGAUCGCAGUCUGCAACUCGACUGCGUGAAGUCGGAAUCGCUAGUAAUCGUGGAUCAGCAUGUCACGGUGAAUACGUUCCCGGGUCUU
Molecule: ribosomal RNA, 457 nt
Filed under: uncultured Rhodocyclaceae bacterium
Lineage: Bacteria; Pseudomonadati; Pseudomonadota; Betaproteobacteria; Rhodocyclales; Rhodocyclaceae
Description: bacterial SSU rRNA
Rfam family: Bacterial small subunit ribosomal RNA
Source: RNAcentral